RNAcentral lists this long non-coding RNA (208 nucleotides) under Lathyrus oleraceus (garden pea). Its description in RNAcentral is "Pisum sativum (pea) long non-coding RNA (PSAT_LNC007269)". Lineage: Eukaryota; Viridiplantae; Streptophyta; Magnoliopsida; Fabales; Fabaceae. The record is from RNAcentral.
AGGAAACACAUCAGGAAAAUCACACACCACGGCUAGAUCGCAAUUCACCAGUUUAUCUUUAGCCUCCAAAGUCGCUAACAGCAUAAACAACUCUGCCCCAUCUGCUACUGCCUCAUUCACCUGCCUUGCUGAUAGAAACAAACUCUUUCCUUCCUCAAUCUCAGGAAAGAUCACAGUCUUAUCAAAACAAUUGAUAUAGACUCGGUUA